GUUAGGAGAAGACCCCGGGGAAGGAAACAUCUCCAGGACCCAGCUCUGACUGCCUGUGGACCUUUCUACUUGUUUCUGUGCAAAACCCAGUUAGUUCCUGAAGAUCUAUGUAAUCUGCUACUACUCUGAAGAAGAAAUCUCAAUCAAGACUAUGAACUCCAUGAAGGCAGGACCCAUAUUUUAUCUGAGCUCUGUAUCCCCUACAAUGUCCAUCAAUGUUCUGUGCGAAUCCAUGAACAGAGAUAAAGUGAAAACUUCAGAUGCACCAAGAAAAUGGAACCCAAGAGAAAUGGCAAGAUGCAUCAUGUUUGGAAUUCUCAAAUAUGCCUCUAGGCUGAUGGGAGACAGAGUCUUAGAAAAAUUGUCAUAAUGGGAAGUAUCUGAAUCACUUUGCCAUCAUAGAUAUUCAUUUCAGGUAAACUGACCCAUCUCCUCUAUAUAUUUCGGGGAAAGUACUAAGCACAGGUACAAUAUACAACAUAAUCAAAGAAGUAAAUAGACACAUAACAAUUCUCCUAAUCCUCCUUUGAAAGGAAAAGUGUUCUAUUGCCUUCAUGUUAUUGAUUUUGGACAAUGAUCACACAUAAUCCUUUGGAUAAGUAACUGCAAUUGUAAGUUUUAGAAAGUGUCAGACCCAGUUAGUAAACUGUGUAUAAUAUGCCAAUUAUAAUAAUAAAAUAUUAACCAUAGCACAACAAAGAUAUAAGUUGGUAUAUUAGAUAUAGCAACUAAAAAUGUUAAGAGUUUCUGUUGGAGGAAUAAAAACUUUAGGUCUGUGUAGUUAUCUAGAGAAGCUCAAACCCAUACAGAAGGAUCUGGGUUCAUUGAGAGUGGUGAGUGUACAGCUGGCCUGAUAAGAGAGUAUGAAAACAACCUUGUUUUCUUCAGGUGUUUGAUCCUUUAAUGUUUUAUGCCCUUGUUGUCGAGCCCAUUGCAUAUUUCUUAACAUCCUCUGUAUGUUCUGCUGUGUUGACAUGCUAAUUAGCUAUUAAAAACCCUACAAAACAUACUACUGAAAAUCAAUUUGGGGUCUUUUCACUGUGUAUGGUAUGGGGUGUGGUAAGAUCUCUAGUUUUAAUUUACCACAAUUCAAGUUUGGAUCUGCAGCUCAAAAUUAUGCUCUAGAGAUAUCUUUAUUUCAAACACCUUCAACUCUCUGGAUUUCUUCCCAAAAGUCAGUAUACCAAUGGGGCACACAGAAAAAUGCUCAAAAAGAGCAAAACACCCUGUGUAGACAUGUAUAUAAAAUAACUGCAUCCCUUCUGAGCUCUUAGGUUUUACCUGGGUCCAAACCUCUUCCCAAGGUUAGCCAAGUUUGUGUAAAGGUAAAAAUGAUCACCUUAAAAUCUGCCAUAAAUAGGAU
This is a long non-coding RNA of Monodelphis domestica (gray short-tailed opossum), 1363 nucleotides long. RefSeq lists it as uncharacterized. Lineage: Eukaryota; Metazoa; Chordata; Mammalia; Didelphimorphia; Didelphidae. The record is from RefSeq and is a predicted model, not a curated record.